This 73-nucleotide transfer RNA is filed under the name Dipodomys ordii (Ord's kangaroo rat). It matches the Rfam family "tRNA". Rfam says of the family: Transfer RNA (tRNA) molecules are approximately 80 nucleotides in length. Their secondary structure includes four short double-helical elements and three loops (D, anti-codon, and T loops). Lineage: Eukaryota; Metazoa; Chordata; Mammalia; Rodentia; Heteromyidae. The record is from Rfam by way of RNAcentral.
GGAGGUGUGGCUCAAGUGGCAGAGCUUCAGCCUAGCAAGCUUGAGGCUCUGAGUUCAAACACCAGUACUGCCA